RNAcentral lists this unclassified non-coding RNA (427 nucleotides) under plant metagenome. RNAcentral's name for it is "partial contains 5.8S ribosomal RNA, internal transcribed spacer 2, and large subunit ribosomal RNA". It matches the Rfam family "Bacterial small subunit ribosomal RNA", at positions 358 to 777 of the family's 1533-position model. The record is from RNAcentral.
GGAAUAUUGCACAAUGGGCGCAAGCCUGAUGCAGCCAUGCCGCGUGUAUGAAGAAGGCCAUCGGGUUGUAAAGUACUUUCAGCGGGGAGGAAGGCGGUGAGGUUAAUAACCUCAUCGAUUGACGUUACCCGCAGAAGAAGCACCGGCUAACUCCGUGCCAGCGGCCGCGGUAAUACGGAGGGUGCAAGCGUUAAUCGGAAUUACUGGGCGUAAAGCGCACGCAGGCGGUCUGUCAAGUCGGAUGUGAAAUCCCCGGGCUCAACCUGGGAACUGCAUUCGAAACUGGCAGGCUAGAGGCUUGUAGAGGGGGGUAGAAUUCCAGGUGUAGCGGUGAAAUGCGUAGAGAUCUGGAGGAAUACCGGUGGCGAAGGCGGCCCCCUGGACAAAGACUGACGCUCAGGUGCGAAAGCGUGGGGAGCAAACAGGA